This 99-nucleotide transfer RNA is filed under the name Collybia nuda. RNAcentral describes it as "Lepista nuda tRNA-Ser". It matches the Rfam family "tRNA". Rfam says of the family: Transfer RNA (tRNA) molecules are approximately 80 nucleotides in length. Their secondary structure includes four short double-helical elements and three loops (D, anti-codon, and T loops). Lineage: Eukaryota; Fungi; Basidiomycota; Agaricomycetes; Agaricales; Clitocybaceae. The record is from RNAcentral.
GUCACUUUGCCGGAGUGGUUAACGGGAUCGCCUGCUAACUUUGAUUAGUAUGAUAGCGGUUGGUCUUUGACCGCGAGUGUUCGAAUCGCUCAGGUGACG